AUUGAACGCUGGCGGCAGGCCUAACACAUGCAAGUCGAGCGGAUGAAGGGAGCUUGCUCCUGGAUUCAGCGGCGGACGGGUGAGUAAUGCCUAGGAAUCUGCCUGGUAGUGGGGGAUAACGUCCGGAAACGGGCGCUAAUACCGCAUACGUCCUGAGGGAGAUAGUGGGGGAUCUUCGGACAUCACGCUAUCAGAUGAGCCUAGGUCGGAUUAGCUAGUUGGUGGGGUAAAGGCCUACCAAGGCGACGAUCCGUAACUGGUCUGAGAGGAUGAUCAGUCACACUGGAACUGCGACACGGUCCAUACGCCUGCGGGAGGCAGCAGUGUGGAAUGUUGGACAAUGGGCGAAAGCCUGAUCCAGCCAUGCCGCGUGUGUGAAGAAGGUCUUCGGAUUGUAAAGCACUUUAAGUUGGGAUGAAGGGCAGUAAGUUAAUACCUUGCUGUAUUGACGUUACCAACAGAAUAAGCACCGGCUAACUACGUG
This 484-nucleotide ribosomal RNA is filed under the name uncultured bacterium. RNAcentral describes it as "partial 16S ribosomal RNA". It matches the Rfam family "Bacterial small subunit ribosomal RNA", at positions 30 to 507 of the family's 1533-position model. The record is from RNAcentral.